This 94-nucleotide transfer RNA is filed under the name Staurochilus sp. Lior 012. Its description in RNAcentral is "tRNA-Leu". The stretch from base 1 to 80 matches the Rfam family "tRNA". From Rfam's summary of the family: Transfer RNA (tRNA) molecules are approximately 80 nucleotides in length. Their secondary structure includes four short double-helical elements and three loops (D, anti-codon, and T loops). Further hydrogen bonds mediate the characteristic L-shaped molecular structure. tRNAs have two regions of fundamental functional importance: the anti-codon, which is responsible for specific mRNA codon recognition, and the 3' end, to which the tRNAs corresponding amino acid is attached (by aminoacyl-tRNA synthetases). tRNAs cope with the degeneracy of the genetic code in two manners: having more than one tRNA (with a specific anti-codon) for a particular amino acid; and 'wobble' base-pairing, i.e. permitting non-standard base-pairing at the 3rd anti-codon position. Lineage: Eukaryota; Viridiplantae; Streptophyta; Magnoliopsida; Asparagales; Orchidaceae. The record is from RNAcentral.
GCCGCCAUGGUGAAAUUGGUAGACACGCUGCUCUUAGGAAGCAGUGCUAGAGCAUCUCGGUUCGAGUCCGAGUGGCGGCAUAAAUAUUAAUUCA